UGGAGCUUCAAUUCGAGCCUGGAUGUCGCCGUCCGUAACGGCAACACUACAAACGGAGGCGACGCGGGAGGGGGCGGCAUCAACGCUCCUCCGGACCCCCCUCCGAGCAAGAAGAAAAGCAGCAUCGGCCUACUGGCUGGUGUGCUUGCUGGCGCGGGAACCUUGGCAAUCGCAGCGGGUUUGGCACUCUUCUUCGUCCGGCGAAGAAGGGCAUAUGCCAAGAAUGGAGGACAGGACGACGUCAUCAACGACAGCGAACUUGACGAAGGCAAGGGGCCCAAGACCUUCUCUUAUUCGGAACUCGCCCGGGCAACAAGCAACUUUGCGCCAGAACAAAAGCUAGGAAGAGGAGGAUUCGGAGACGUUUACAGAGGAACCUUAACCCAGCCGAAAAUGGUGGUGGCCAUCAAAAGAGUGGCAAAAGACUCGAGGCAGGGAAAGAAGGAGUAUGUCGCCGAGGUGAAGGUCAUCAGCCGCGUGCGCCACCGCAACCUCGUGCAGCUCGUGGGGUGGUGCCACGAGAAGGGGGAGCUGCUUCUCGUCUAUGAGUACAUGCCCAACGGCAGCCUCGACGCCCGCCUCUACGGCGGUGGCAAUCCGCUGCCGUGGCCGACGAGGUACAGCAUCGCCCGGGGGGUCGCGGCGGCGCUGCUUUACCUCCACGACGAGUCGGAACAGUGCGUCGUCCACAGGGACGUCAAGUCGGACAAUGUGAUGCUGGACGCCAAUUUCAACGCCAAGUUAGGGGAUUUCGGCCUUGCGAGGCUCGUGGACCACGGCGGCGGCAUGGAGACGACGGCCGUGGCUGGGACGAUGGGGUACCUGGCGCCGGAGACCGCGACGACGGGGAGGGCGAGCAAGGAGUCGGACAUCUACAGCUUCGGGGUGCUGGCCUUGGAGAUCGCCUGCGGGAGGAGACCCAUCGAUCACGGCAAUAAAGAGGGACGAGUUAGUCUCGUCGACUGGGUGUGGGAUCUCUACGGGAAGGGCGCCGUUGUGGAGGGGGCGGACGAGAGGCUGGGCUCGGACUUCGACCGGCAGGAGAUGGAGCGGCUGAUGGUGGCGGGCCUGUGCUGCGCGCACCCGGACCACCGGCAACGGCCGUCGAUGCGGCAGGUGAUCGGCAUUCUCCUCUUCGAGAUGCCGUUGCCUGAUCUUCCGUCCGAGAUGCCGGACCCGUCCUACGGAGCGUUUUCGGUUUCAGGGUUCAAGUUGACCAGCAACAACGGGUGGUCAUCGUCUACGUCCGCGACCUCCGCUGGAUUCACCAACGGCGCCUCCGUCGAUUCAGCGGGGUCCGCCGUCUCCAAACGACUUCUGUUUCCGUCCGGCAGUUGAAUCAGUCGAAUUCAACUCUUUCGUUUUGUUUGUCUUUCACUCAGGAGUUGAGUACAGCGAGAGAGCGAGAUAUUUCUGUGUUAUUUGCACUUUCUUCCCAACUGUUCUUGCUGUAAAAAUCCCUGUAACCAAGGUUUCGAUCCUUGGAGCUUAGCUCCCUCGUCCUACUCAGUUGACGGUGGAUUCUCGCGGACCCAUUACCACGAUGUAUCCCGGCAUUUUCGUGAGGAUCCUGAAUAGAUCUGAUAGGAAGGAAAGGAUAGGUUCGGCCUCCGACGUCUGUCUAUGGCAUUCCUCCCACGGGGGCGGCACGUCACCCACCGCACCACGACGACCAUUCACGAGAACGCCGAUGGUCAGGCCAGGCGUCUGUUCACAUCUUUUGUCUACUCUGUUUCAUGGGUCCUGGGUGACUUCUUCACGUGUUCCCACCUUCCCUCGGACGCGGACGAAAUCCGGAGAAUCAGCUUGGACAUGAGAUCGAUUCAGCCCGUCCUAGUUUAUCUUCCCUUAAAGACGGUGUUUUACGUGGGUACUACUCCAUUGCUCUCCUGUCGGCGUAACAGGACUGCUCCUUACGCCAUCACCUCCCCCCCCCAAUUGGUAGCUCGCAAAUCGCAUACAACACCAGCAUCACUGGAGAUCCGAGUUCGAGUGCUGAGGGGACGCCACAGCUGGAUACCAUUCAUCCAGGGACCCAUCGUCCCUCCGGGGCUCCCCUUACUUUCCGGCCCUUGCCCAUCUCGCUAAGAAGCCACAGGCAGCUGGCCGGAUGGAAACUAGUGAAGCUGGUGAGAGCUGGCAUCUCAGCCAAUUGUUCCCCCGUCUGACUUCUGACUCGGUCCAUGCAUUACUUCGUCAUAAAGGUGUGCGAGAAUCGGGCCACAACCGGUCCUUUUCGCAUGUCGCGUCCUCUCUCUCUCCUCGGCAUGAAACGCCUCGUCAUCCUCCACCCAGCCGAUUCCCAACAACCUUUCCCUUCCAACAAUCUUUCACUUCAUCUCAUAAUAGAGAUCUUAAAUGAAAUGUCUGGUUAUUGUAUAAAUAGAUAAUAACUGCAUCAGGGAACUGUGACUUGUGACUGUACUAAAUUUCAUGUUUAUUCUUCAAAAAUUUCUCCAAGAGUUCAUUCGAAAUCACAUGUAUAUAUUUCAAAAUUCUUCUCUCUAAUCACUUUGAAAACCGAAUUAUAUAUUUCACUUUUUUUCACUAUUUAUUUAAAAACUCAAAAUAUUUUUUUAUUAAUUAAAAUACAAUUUUUAAAAUAUGAAAUCAUUUUAAAAAUAAAAUAAAUAUUAAUAUUCAUGAAAAAUUAUUCAUACUCGAUGUUUGACUUAAGACUCAUUUAUUCAUCCCCGAGACAAGUACCAUCAAAGAUUAACCAUAAAAAGUGAUUAAUAGUGGGUAUAAAAAGAAGAGCCAGUGAAAAGAAAAGAAUAUAGAAGUAGAUACAAGAGAUUGACCAUCUCAUAAUGAGUCCUUAUCUAGAAUAAUUUUACCAUCUCGUUGUCAACCACCCACCACUUUCAUUCCCUUGUUUUCAUUUUCUAUUCCAUUUGACUUAUGUCAGGUCUUCAAACUAUGUACCCUUCAAAGGAUUUUUAGGCCCUUAGUGAAAUAUUUUCCUAUGAAAAGUGAGUCACCUUUCUUCCACGUCUUGAGGCUGAUGAUAGACUAAAUGAUUGAAUGUUCAUAUGCAUGAGUGAAAGAUGAAGAUAAAGAGAUGAAGGAGGUGGAACAAUGUGGAUAAGAGAGACGAGGUAAGUGGUGAGUUUUGUUUUCUCAUAUUUGAAAGAUCUAAAACUAGAAAUCAAAUGAUUUGUAGAACAUGCUCUCAAAACAUAAUCUAUCUCUAAUUUUGAACUAAAAUAUAACCCUAGAUGAACGAGAAUUUUAACCACCAUGAAACUAACCUGACAUCAUCACUUCUUAUUCUAUAUUUCCACCAAGAGGCAUUCACUUGUAGUAGUGGGAGAGGCCUCAUUUAGGCAAGAUAAGCUUCCAUUCCUGUUGUAAUACACCUACACACAUGCAAAGUGAAGCCCUAGAAAACCUUUCCCCUCUAAGUAGGAACAAUGACCAUGGUUUUAUGUCAAUAUAUAAAGCAUUACCCUCACUCUCUCUCCUCUCUUCAUGUGAGAGAAACCACCAAAAGUUUCUCAUGCCUUCACACCUUUCUAAACAAUUACACACCAUUAGAUCAAUGGGUCUCCUCUCUCUAGUGUCUUCUACCAUUUGAUGGUUGGUUUCUUCAUCUAGUCACUUUUCUCUAUUAGAUUGAUGAACCCUUCUUUUGCCAUUAGUGCCUUUCUUAGCCAUUGGAUCCCUCUUGCCACUAAGGUCACUUGUUGUACACAAUGGCUAGAUUCCAACCACAUAUGGGAUGCCCUAGACUUGAGUAAUAAAUCAUUAAAAAUAUCUAGAGGAUAGUUAAUAAAAUAUUGAAACAUAAUGUCCAUUAUGGUUCUAUAUAAUGUCACAUCAAACAUAUAUGAAAGAAUAAUCCAAGAAAAUUCAAGAAAAUACUGGAAACAUUAAUAUACCUCUAAACAUAUUAAAAUCACACCAUUCACACCAUUGAGGUGAGGAAUUAAUAAAGAGAAUCCUAAAAAAUGUUAAACUAUAGAAGAUAAUGUGUGUUUCUAACCUACUAUUCAUGUUACUAGGGGUUCAUCAAAUGGAAUUAGAGCCACACAUCAAAUGUUGAAGAUGAUAGAACCUAAGGUAAACCUCCUUGAGAGAAGCUUGGAGAAAGUUCAUGAGGUCAAUACAACCCUCUAGCAAAACGCCAUGAUGCUCCUAAUGAAAGUCUCUUCCCUCUGUGAGGAGACCAGGGGACUUCGUCAACAACUAGAUCACAUUAUUUGAACACUAGACAACCUACAAAGUUGGGAGGAGCUUCAACAACUUCUUGAAUGAUUCAACACCACUCAAUCAAGCUUUCUUUGUCAUAAUUUCCUAAGCAUCAACUAGAAAGCCUUUAUUAUGGAAUACCAAGAGGAGUUCAAAAUGAUGGCUGGCAUAUUGGGUCACUUACCCAAACAUAUUUUUGAAAAUAUAAUCCUAAAAGGGUUACAUAAUGAAAACUAAGUGGAAGUCACACUUUUAGAACAAAUUGGGCAUAAAAAGUUGAAGCUAAAUGUCAUAGUAAUAAGAUCUUAUUAAAGUAGAAGAAAUCUCCACAAUUUCACUAUUGAAGCUCCUAACUAUUCCCUUCAACAUUACUUAAUUCUUGAACAAGACCCUCAAAGGAUAAUGAUCAACGAAGGACAAAGAUCUAACCUUACUAUAGGUGGCUCACAUGUCAAGGAAUGCUAGUGAAUACAUCUCACUAUAGUACAAAUUCAAUCCUAAUGAGCUCAGGGACUCUACUUCUCAUGUAACGAUAAGUUCUUUCUAGAACAUCUCUACUACUAAGAACAAUAGGUGUUGGUCAUCCAAGAAGGAUUUAUCUUUGAUAAUAGGGCCAGACUCCAAAAGACUACACGACAUCGUGGGAAGAUCGAGUAAUCGACACUAUGAAAAUCAAUAUAGUAAUUUUCACAUUUGACCUUGUAGACAAGAUAUGAUUCAAAGGGGAGAAUAUUGAUGAGACACUAGUUGAUCAAAGACAUCCCUAGAGGCUUAACAAAUGCCUCAACUACUUUACCAAUAGAGAUGUCAGCAAAGAUUAACUAGAGAUAUCCUCAAGAUAAGUGCCACUAGAGAUUAACCAUUGAAAUUGAUUAGCAAUAGUUAUGGUAAGAGGAGGAAGGUGAAGAAAAGAUUAGAGGAGUAAUAAUAAGAGAUUGAUCAUCUUGUAAUGAGUCCUUAUCAAGAAUAGUUCUACAAUCUUAUUGUUGAGUACAACCCCUUCCAUUCUCCUAUUUUCAUUUUCUCUUCCCUUUAACUUUUAUUAGGUCUCUAUAUCAUGUACCUUUCAAGGGAUUUCUAGGCCUCUAGUGAAGUAUUUUUCUCCAAAAUAAUGAGUCCCCUUCUUUUCAUAUAUGGGGGCCCAUUAUGACUAUAAAGGGAGGGGCUUCUAAAGGGCUAGACAUGAGGAAGAACAAAGUAUUACUGUUGAAAGAGGAGAGAGACCUUGGAAAAUGAAUUAAUCAAGGAGAGAGAGCAUACACAAUGUUUAUAGAGAGAGAGAGAGAGGAGAGAGAAUGGAUAAUGGGCCCUUAAUGGGCCAGGUGAGCUAUAUAACAAUUACUAUGCUCACAAAUUGCAUAUAGCACUUGCACCACUAGAGAUAUGAGUUCAGUGCUAAUGGUUUGUCCAUUAGUAUAAAAGUACCUCACAAGUUUAUGCUUCCACCAAUUUACACCUCACCUCAAAAAUUAAAAAAAAAUUCGUCACAACGAUACAUGGUUACCUUAUGACAUGUGUUACCAAGGUCAACCUUCAAGCACAAACCUUAAUAGUAACUAUGUGUCAUGGUCCACGAUGAUGUAUGACCCAAUAAUUGAAUAGUUAAUCUCAUACAAAAAUGAGAAUUAACUAUCAUAGGGAACAUGUAUAUAAUAGGAUACCCCAACCCUUUACACUGAAUACCUUGAAAGUUAAGUUUAUCUUUAUUGAUUACGGAUAACCUCUCUUGAUCACAUUUGGCCCACUUAGGUAAGAAAAAUAGCAUAGGCCAAUGAAUUAUUUGAAGCUAUACAAAUCUUUGUUACAUUCAUAUUAGAGCAAAGUUAGAUCCCCUUGCUUCUUUCCUUAUUUUUUUCUAUUGGUAGAAAGAUAUAGAUGUAGAAAAAAGUUGGGUGGAUAUGAGUGGUGCCCAUGAGUAAAGGUUCGCCCAUUUAGAUGAGUAGUUUGGAGGUGACAGUUGCGACUAUAGAAUCCUUCACUAGUAAGAUGUAGGCGGGGUGAAUCCCUAUAGAGAGAGAAUGCGGACAAUUCAAAAGAAGAAUGGAUCUAGGUAGUAACAACACUUAUUGAAGCCUUGUUUAACCAAAUAGAUGAGGACAUAAAAAAUAGAGACAUAAAAAAAAGAGAUAAAAAAUAAUGAUAUAUUUUUGCCUAAAAAAGAGAGAUCCUCCCUUCAUAAAAGAAAUCAUGAGGAAAUUAGAUCAAGUUUAAAAUUAGUUGGAGGCCAACUUUCAAAAAGUAGUGGGAGACCUCCAUAAGAAGGUUGUAGGUAGUGGGAGACUAUAAAAGCCUUACAAUUGAGCCCAAAUUUUAUGGUCAAAAGAGGGAUAUCAUAAUAAUUAGUAAUCUUUUAUGAGAUCUACAAUAGUAUUUGAAUGUUAACGCAUCUUUGAAAGAAGAGAAAAUUUUCCUAAGUAGUCUUUAUUAGUUAGGACAUGCUAAGACAUAAUAGUGACUAAGGAUGGAAGAUAACUCACAACUAGUAGUAGCAUAGUGAGAGUACUUUGCCAAGAAAAUGUGAGGGCAAUUUCAUAUAAUGAAUUGUGAAAAAUCCAUCAAAAUUAUCAUGAGAUAAUUAAAAUAUAUCAAAUUUAUCUGUGAGUAUGUUGAAAAGAUUGUCAUGAACAUAUGUAGUAGCUUGUGAUAGAUUUUUGAUCUCCUUUAUCCAAAAUAUCCAUAGUCGAAAUAGGCCUCAAUUUACAAACGACCAUGACAUGUGUAAAGGAGCCCCUUCUUCAAAGCUUAUUUGAUGUAUGCAAGUACUCAUAAAGCGCCCUUUCAAUGUACCUUGUGUGACUCCUACAUAAAUUGGUUAAGGACACUAAAAACAUCAAACUAUGUAAGGAUGAGUAACUAUCAAGUAGAUUAGUUUCCCUAAUAAACGUUGAUGUAUGUUAGUGUCUUCUACUAGAAGGGAAUUGUUCUAAAGCUUUGGCUGAUAUUCUAUUGAUGAAGAUUCUACUUUACACCCUAGUAAUUAUGUUUCUUAAAGGAGAUCUAAGGCAUACUUUUGUUGAGAAAGAGCUAGUUAUCUCGAUUGAUAGGCAAACUCAAAUCCAAAGAAGUAGUACAAGGCUUAAAGAUCAUUCAUCACAAAGUGCUAAUGUAACUACUCUUUUGUAGUAGAGAUGUCUACCUCAUCACUGUUUGUUAAAAGUAUAUCAUUAACAUAAACACCAAAACUACAAAAGUCCUCAAAAAUGGUCUUCCACAUCACAAUAAAAUCAACAACAUAUGGAGUGAAGCUAUAGGCAAUAAGGAGCUAGUUGAAUUUCACAUACUAAACUCAGAGACUCUAUUUGAGCCCAUAUAUGGCUCAUCGGAGCAAGCAUACUUGAGAAGUCUCCCUUUUAAUAACAUACCUUAGAGGUUGUUCCAUAAACACAUGUUCAUAUAAGUUGUCAUACAUGAAGACAUUAAAGAUAUUCAGUUGGUGUAAGGACUAACCCUAAUUAACUAUCUGAGAGAUAAGUACUCGAAUGGAGUUGAGACGAACCACUAAAGAGAAAGUUUUCAUAUAAUUGAUGUCAUAUGUUUAAGUGAAACCUCAAGCUAUUAACCGAGCAAAAGUGAUGAGCCAUUAUACCAUCAAGAUUAUAUUUAAGGUUGAAAACCCAUUUGCACAUCACAUGUUAGUAUUAGUUCGACGUAGUACAAGUUAUCAAGUACCACAUGUUAUUAAGGCACGAUACACAAGAUCUAUGGUCACUUUUCACUCAUGUACCUAAAGAGCUUCAAGAUACAUCUUGAGAAGUGACUUAGAAGAAAUAAAGAGGGCAAAAACAUAAAAGGUAGGGUGAAGGCAGUCAUAAGAGACAAAAUUAGUAAUGGGGUACUAAGUGUAAGUAUGUUUACCUUUGUGUAGGGCAAUUAGAAGAUGGAGGUCAUCUAAAGGUGGAGUAGUAAAGGAGUGUGUGGCCUAAUCUAGUACCAGAGUGGAGACAAUUGAGGGUAUAUCUUGUAUUAGAUCUUGUGAAGAUGACAUGAAUAGUGACACCAUAUGAGUGUCCUUGAUAAAAAGUAAUAUGAGGUUGUGAAGUACGAUUGGAAGAGAGUGGUGGAAAACCUAGAGGUGGAGAAGAAGACACUUGAGAAAGAGUAGUAUGAGAAGAAAAGAAGGGUCUGUCCUAAUGGAAAGUGAUAUCAAUUGAAGUGAUACAAUGAUGAGUAUCAAGGAAGUAUACACGAUAGCUUUUUUACGUAUGCAAGUAGUCAAUGACGACCCUCUUAAGGGCACGAGGAGUAUGAAAACAGAUAAAGUGUGAUCAUUGACGAAUGUUAGAUAGCCAAAUAUACGAGAAAAAAAAGCCAAAGAGAGUUGCCUUGGGGUAGAGAUGUUAGAGGGGAAUAUCUUCAUUUAGGGGGGAGGAAGGUAGACGGUUGUGUAGGUAGGUGGCCAUCAUGAGAGUAUUAUUGUACUAGAGAUAGUGAGGGACAUGCAUCUCAUUGAAAAGUAUGUGAGUAAUGUCUAGUAGGUGGUGAUGUUUCUAUUCUACAACACCAUUUUGUUGAGAGGUGUAAGGGCACCUGGUCUAGUGUAUAAUAUUACGAUCAACACAAAAGGUAGAGAGAACAAGUUGAACUAACUCCAGGGCAUUGUUAGUAUGAAGAAUCUUAGGGGUAAUAGAGUGUUGUAUCAUAAUCUUGAUGAUGAAUUAUAUGACAAUGUUAGGGACAUGAGAAUAAUUUUUCAUGAGAUAUAGCCAACAAAGAUCACAUAGUAGAGGUGGCAUAAGAGAGAAUUAACCUAAGAUAGGCACCAAACAUUACAAUGAACAAGGUCAAACUAGUGAGAGGACAAGAUUAUGUUGUGAGGAGAGUAGGUGGAGUGAUGAUGUUUGCUUAAUUGGCAUGACUCACACAUAAACUUAGAGAGAGAAAGGCAUAGUAAUGAUUUUUGAAGUUUUGAAAAAUAAGAAUGUCCUGAACAAUGAUGCCACAAAAUAGAUAAAAAAAAGUAGAAUGAGCAAACAAGAUAAGAAGACCCAAGGAUAGUGUCUUGGGGACAAGCUCAUAGAUGUCACUACCAUUCUCAUACUUCAAAUCAAUCCAUUGUCUUAUAUGUAGAUCUUGAAAAAUACAAAGAAAGAGAAAAAAUAUAAUAACACAAUUAAGUGUACAUGUGAUGGCACUAAUGGACAAGAGGUUAGUGGGAAAAUUAGGUACAUGAAGGACAUCAUGGAGGGGUAGGGAGGGUAUAUGUGUGGUCAAUCUAUGACCCUUAAUGGACAUAAAUGACUAUUAGCAAUGGAGAUAGGAGGAUAGGUAGAUGUAGGUUAAAUGAAGAUGGGGACAAAUAGUGUACCCAUCAUAUGGGCAAAUUCCCCCAAGUCGAUAAUCUAAGACAAUUUAGAAGUAAUAAGGACAUAUACUUAAAGUAGAGGUAAGACUGGCCAAUGUGAUAGUGUAGGACAAAAUAUCAUAUGUUUGCUUUCAUGUCUCAUAUUUGGCGAGAGAGAAUGACACCUAGAUUGUUAGAAUAGUAGGUGUCGGUGGAGGAACUAUAGAUGUAAUAGGAGUGGCUAUACGAGAGUAGGCAAUAGAUAUCAAGGCUUGUGUCCAUUUGGGUUUCCCAAAUUCUUUUCAACACUUGUUAGAAGGAUAGCUGGUCUUGACAUAGUAGGUACAUGGGGGAAAUCCAUUCUUAACCUUAGUAGAACUCUUGCCCUUAUUAUAAUUCUUGGGGCCAUGGCCACCAUGUGAUCCUAAUGCUACUGUUACUAGGGCCAAAGGAUAUGGUAGAGCAAAUGAGACAAAUGACAUAAGAAUGCUUAGGGGUACACCAAUAAUAACUCAAAAUGUUAAAGAGAAAAUGGAGGCAAUCGACAAUAUAUGACUACUAGAAAGUACUUGACGAUAAAUCUAGAAGGCAAUGGAUGGGUGAAAGCCAUUGAGAUAGGCAUCGACAAAUAGUUAUUAAUGAUAAUGCUCCAAGUGCAUAAAUCAGUUGUGGAGGGCUAGCGGACCAAUAACUUCUAGAUGAUGUUUUAGAGUUUGCCAAAAUACUCCUAAAGAGUUUGAUUGCCUUGCUUGCAUGCAAAAAAAGCUUCAUAAAGUUUGAUUGUGCGGUUGAUAUUGGUCUUAUUAAUAUACAUCAUCUCAAGUGUCUGCCAAAGGGCGCAUAGGAACUUGAUGUGAUCAAGAGGUUGAGCAAUACUUGGAAUAAUGUUUCAACACAUCUAUAUAAGAACUGUCAAGUCAAGUUGUGACCACAACACAUAAGUACAUGUCGUGGCUACCGGAGGUGAUGUUAGAUAAUGUAACAAAUUAUGAGCUUGAAAAAAAUUUUCAAAGCUAUAUAUGCCCACGAUCAAUAAUUGAAAUUGUCAAACACAUAUGCCAGCCAAGUUAGUGGGGCAAUAAUAGAGUGAUGGGUCGAUAGUAUUGGAUCAACUACAAGACAAACAAAGGGACUAGAAGAGGGAGAACUAGAAGUAACAAUUCGUCGAUAGAAUCUACCAUCAGGUUGGGGCACGUAAGAGAGCAACAAUCAAAAGAUCAGGACACUAAUAGAUGAGGGCCAGCUAAGGCUGUUAGGGUAGGGCACUAAGGUGGCCUAGGUAGCCACAUGAGUAGCUUGGGCCUAAAAUAAUUUGGACAGUAGCUUGGACUUGGAAUGGCCCAAGUGAAUGCCAAUACUAGAGCAACAAUUUUAGUAGUCAAAGAAGACGGUGGCUAUGGAGGCAAUGAGGGAAAUGAUGGUGGCGACGAUGAUAGUGGCAACAAAUUAGGAGGGAACCCUAGGACGAGCCAGUACACAAUAAGGUGGGGGGGCAGUCUCAUGGCUCUAGUGCCAUGUGGAAUGAAAAACCUUUAAUCCUGAGAUUACAAGAGCUUAUAUAAAGGAGAGAAGAAGAUGGGUCAUUGUUGGGCCAUACUCUUAUAGUACAUACCAAAACUCAAUAGUAAAAAUAUAUUUAAAUAAUAAUAGUCAAAGAGUCAAGUAGGUAUUUGUGGGUUGUUAUAAAAAGAAGGUCAUAAAGGUUAAGAACAUAUCUUUUCUAAGUCUAGAACCAGCUUAGAAGAUGUCAAGUUGGGACAUGUCUAUUUCUCUUUUUGAACUUGAUUUACAUACUAGGACUGAAUUAAGGCCAAAUUUGAAAUGAUUCUAGAUGACUUUUCCCCUCACCUAGUGCAUGUCUACAAGGGUCAAGAAGUCAAGAUGGAGAUUGAACUGAAGGUGAAGAGGAGGAGAUCCCCUCUUUCUCUCUCUCUCUCUCUCUCUCUCUCCCUCUCUCUCUCUCUCUCUCUCUCUCUCUCUCUCUCUCUCUCNNNNNNNNNNNNNNNNNNNNNNNNNNNNNNNNNNNNNNNNNNNNNNNNNNNNNNNNNNNNNNNNNNNNNNNNNNNNNNNNNNNNNNNNNNNNNNNNNNNNNNNNNNNNNNNNNNNNNNNNNNNNNNNNNNNNNNNNNNNNNNNNNNNNNNNNNNNNNNNNNNNNNNNNNNNNNNNNNNNNNNNNNNNNNNNNNNNNNNNNNNNNNNNNNNNNNNNNNNNNNNNNNCUCUCUCUCUCUCUCUCUCUCUCUCUCUCUCUCUCUCUCUCUCUCUCUCUCUCUCUCUCUCUCUCUCUCUCUCUCUCUCUCUCUCUCUCUCUCUCUCUCUCUCUCUCUCUCUCUCUCUCCUCUCUCUCUCUCUUGCUCUCUCUUCCCACCAACUUCAAUGGGGUUUUCUACUACUACCACAAGGCUUUUGUUCCACCACCAGGGCAAGAUACUCGCUCACUAUGUGUCCUCUUUUACUGCCACAAGCUCCUCUACCGUUGUUGCAUGCUUUCUUCCAUUGCCACUACAGAAUCCUCCUCGCCAUGCAUCCUCUUCUGCCACCACAGGCUCCUCCACCACCAUUGCAUGUUUUCUUCUCCUACCAUUGCAGAAUCCUCCCUUGUUGCGCAUCCUCUUCUGUUGCCACAAACUCCUCUAUUGCUACUACAUACUUUCUUCCACUGCCAUCGCAUAAUCCUCUCUCACUGUACUCCCUCUUUUGUUACUACAUGCUCCUUUGAGACCACUACAUGUUUUCUUUUGUGCCCACCACAAAAUCCUCUCUAGCCGUGAGUUCUCUUCCAUUACCACAAGCUCCUCUACUACCGGUACAUGCUUCUCUUCUGCCAACAAUGUAGAAUCCUAGCUAGUUCUGUGUCCUCUUAUGGCACAUGUUCCUCCUGCCACAAGUUAUUUGAUGUUUUUGUAUUUUUAAAUAUAACACAAUUAUAUAAUUAAAUGAUUUUAUUUAUCUUAAUUUGUAAUAUUAUAAUUAACUGUUAUGAUUUAAAAGUUAGUUAUAUUAUAGAUAAAUUAUAACAUAUAUAUAUAUCUUUAAAUGUAGAUAGGUCAUAGGUCUGAACUUAGUUCUAAGUUUAGGUCACAACUAAAAACUUAAUUGAGACUAUGACCAUUGAUCUCUAGUUAUAGCUGAAAACUUGGGCACAAAUAAAUAAUUUUGAUCUUAGAGGGGGGUAUAAUGUUAAAACACUAUGCUGCGGACUUCUCCUGGGAUCAUUAAUGGUCUAUGCCCACAGAACAUGUCCGAGGGUGACACCCUGCCUAAGUCAUGGGCCUGGGGUCCAGUACAGAGCCCAAGUGUCUGUGCAAAGCUAUUUGGAUCCGAUAUCGCGGAGCGGAUCUGCAACGGACCAAGAAGAUACACGGAGGGGAAGAUCCGGCGGAUAAAGUGACCGUUGUGGGCCGGAAAACCGCUCGACGCACGUUCUCCCGUUAUGGGCCAGAAAGAAGGUGGCGUGGGGGGUUUUUCCAGGCGGCCCAGAUCGUGGGUGGGCUGUUCCGACCUUCAGGGGGUGCACGAGAGUCUUUGCGUUGACCAUCACCAUUUCCGCGUAAUCUUGGAGAAGAAAGGUAGCUAGUGCUGGCGACGGGGGCCAAGGCCAGUCCGGGAACGAAUCCAGGUGAGUUCGAUCCUUGACCCGUGAUACAAGGCACAGGCCCACUCCUCCGGCCCCAUGCUUACCAAAAGAAGUGGUGGACAGGUGACUCGGCAGAUACGUCCAUAUUUCAGCCGACUGCGCUCAAAUUCCGAACGGCCACAGUCGCUGUGAUAGCCGCUAUACUUUCUCCAUGGUAGAAAUUUUGACGGUCAAGUCAAUGUCGGACCGUGUGGUCGCCGUCGUCCUUCUUCGGAAGCAUCACCAGAGCUAGCAUCGCCGCGUACUAAAGUGGCGCAGACGGAGAACUUGUUUUCUUGUCUAACUGGUUCAACUCACGGCAUCGCAGACCUUGCAGGAGUGAGUUCCGUGGUGGCCCUAACCCACCUCCUCGGAGCUUAUCCCUGAGCCAUGCCGCUGGGCACGCCCGCCGCCUCUUUGCUCCUCCUGCUCACCUUUGUCCUCAUGGCUGGAGCGGAGACGGUGACCACCUAUUUCGACUUCCCUACGUUUGGCUCUAGCCGCGACAUCACCUUCCUGGGCAACGCCUCAUCCACCAACGGCUCUCUAGAGCUCAACGAAGACGGCAGCUACAGCUACGGCCGAGCCUUCUACUCGAACCCGGUCCGUCUCUGGGACAACAAAACGGGGAAUCUGGCAAGCUUGAUCACAAACUUCUCCUUCUCGGUGAUCCAGAGUCCGAACAGUACAUAUCACGGUGAUGGAUUAGUCUUCUUCCUCGCCCCCAUCGGCUACCCUGUACUGCAGAACAGAUUGGGUGGCCUAUUCACGCUCUUCAAUAGUAGUGACGAAUUGGUCAUGUCCCCCGUGGUAGCCGUCGAGUUCGAUACCUACUCAAACGAUUGGGAUACGGAGGUCGCCCAUGUGGGAAUCGACGUCGGCCACAUCGACUCCGUCAAAAGCUUGUCUUGGGAGUCGUUCGACUUCCCGACCAUCGACGCAGUGAUCUCCUACGACGCCGGCACCACGGAGCUGAGAGCCUCCUUUUCCGACGGCAACGGCUACAACAAGACCUUAUUUUACGUCGUCGACCUGAGAAAGGAGCUCCCCGAAACUGUGAACAUCGGCUUCGCGGGUGCCACUGGCAGAUACUUCGAACGCCAUGUGAUACAUUCCUGGAGCUUCAACUCAAGCCUGGAUGUUGUCGACCGUAACGGCAACACUACGAACGGCGGCGACACCGGAGGGGGCACCAUCACGGCUCCACCGGUCCCCCCUCCGAACAAGAAGAAAAGCAGCAUCGGUCUACUGGCUGGUGUGCUAGCCGGCGCGGGAACCUUGGCAAUCGCAGCGGGUUUGGCACUCGUCUUCGUCUGGCGAAGAAGGGCACAUGCGAAGAAUGGAGGACAGGACGGCGUCAUCAACGACAGCGAAUUUGACGAAGGCAAGGGGCCCAAGAGCUUCUCUUAUUCGGAACUCGCCCGGGCAACAAGCAACUUUGCGCCAGAACAAAAGCUAGGAAGAGGAGGAUUCGGAGACGUUUACAGAGGAACCUUAACCCGGCCGAAAAUGGUGGUGGCCAUCAAGAGAGUCGCAAAAGACUCGAGGCAGGGAAAGAAGGAGUAUGUCGCCGAGGUGAAGGUCAUCAGCCGCGUGCGCCAACGCAACCUCGUGCAGCUCGUGGGGUGGUGCCACGAGAAGGGGGACCUGCUUCUCGUCUAUGAGUACAUGCCCAACGGCAGCCUCGACGCCCACCUCUACGGCGGUGGCAAUCCGCUGCCGUGGCCGACGCGGUACAGCAUCGCCCGGGGUGUCGCGGCGGCGUUGCUUUACCUCCACGACGAGUCGGACAAGUGCGUGGUCCACAGGGACGUCAAGUCGAGCAACGUGAUGCUGGACGCCAAUUUCAACGCCAAGUUAGGGGAUUUCGGCCUUGCGAGGCUCGUGGACCACGGCGGCGGCAUGGAGACGACGGCCGUGGCUGGGACGAUGGGGUACCUGGCCCCGGAGACCGCGACGACGGGGAGGGCGAGCAAGGAGUCGGACGUCUACAGCUUCGGGGUGCUGGCCUUGGAGAUCGCCUGCGGGAGGAGACCCGUCGAUCACGGCAAUAAAGAGGGGCGGGUUAGUCUCGUUGAGUGGGUAUGGGAUCUCUACGGGAAGGGCGCCGUUGUGGAGGCGGCAGACGAGAGGCUGGGCUUGAACUUUGACCGGCAGGAGAUGGAGCGGCUGAUGGUGGCGGGCCUGUGCUGCGCGCACCCGGACCACCGGCAACGGCCGUCGAUGCGGCAGAUGAUCGGCAUUCUCCUCUUCGAGAUGCCGUUGCCUAAUCUUCCGACAGAGAUGCCGGAGAUAUCCUACGGAGCGUUUCCCGUUCCGGAGUUCAACAUGACCACCAUCAAGGAGUUGUCGUCUACGUCGGCAACCUCCGCCAGAUUCGCCACCGGCGCCUCCGUCGAUUGAGCGGGGUCCGCCGGGUACAAACCAGCCCUUUAUCCGCUCGACAGGUGAAUCAGUCGAAUUCAACGCUUUCGUUUUGUUCAUCCUUCUCUCAGGAGCUAAGUACAGCGAGAGUGCCAGAUGUAUCUUCUGUGUUCUUCCUGUAAUAAUCCCUGUAACGAAGGUUUCGAUCCUUGGAUCUUAGCUCCUUUGUCCGCGUCAGUUGACUGUGGGUUAUCGCUUGACUCAUGACCAUGAUGCAUCCCGGCAUUUCCGUGAGGAUCCAGAAAUGGAUCAGAUGGGAGGAAAGGAUAGGUUCGGCCUCGGACCUUUGUCCAUCGCCUUCCUCCUACCGGGGCGUGUCGUCACCCAGCCCACGACGACCAUUCCCCGAAGCUCAGGCGUCGGUUCACAUCUCUUGUCUGCUCUGUUUCAGUAGUCCUCGGUGACUUCUUCCCCCGUUCCCACCUUCCACUCGGACGCGGACGAGAUCCGCAGAAUCAGCUUGGACAUGAGAUCGAUUCAGCCCGUCUGAGUUUAUUUCUCUUUUAGAUGUUUUUUUACGUGGGUACGACUCCCUUACUCUCCCGUCGGCCUAACAGAACUUAAAUAUCUAAUUCGUCACAACGACAAAGGGUUAGCAUACGCCAUGACUGGGGCCGCGCAUCUACCCAUAUUCCACGGAGAGGACCGGUCCUCCCUCCGGGGCUCCCUUUAUUUUUCGUCUCUUGGAUCCCUCGCUGACCCAUCACGCCGGUGGAUCGUCUUCCUAGCCCCGAGUUUCUUAGUCGUUUAUCUCUUGUACUGGGACGAGGCCGCCGGGUCGCCGGGCCGCCGGUUGGAUGGAAACGGAUGGAGCUCGUGGGAACCGGCUUCUGAGCCAGUCGGUAAAGAGGGGUGGUGGCACCGGUUAGACCGAAACUGCAUCUCAUGCACCUCGCCUUUUAUGCCGCGGAGGAAGAUGAAGGAACCAAAACCGAAACAUCCAGGCGAUAAGAGGGCGAAUAAGAAAGUCAGGAGGCUCUUCUCACCGCCGCAUCAGAUGCCUCAAGCGAGAGCUUUUCCGCAAACUCGUAUCCCCUCUUUCUUUCGUUUGGCCUACGUGACUGUGUAAGCAAAGAAAGCCAAUGAAGGCUUACGAAUGUCGGAAGGAGUUGACCCCACACGGUAGGUGUUUUCCGAUCGACGAUGCGGUGUGUACGGCGGUGGGCACGCACCCCCCAGCCUUCGCGGGAAAAUGCCGAGCUUCCCCCCGCCGGGGGCCCUCCCAUGCAGCUCCAGUUUUCCCCCACCUCCUGCGUCCCUCUCAAUAAUCCCCUCCACACCUGUCUCUCUCGGCGAUAUUUCGUCAUUCAUAAACUACAUAAAAAAAAGCUUCUUUUUUUUGUCAUUCGCUCCCUAUGGGUGAUAAGAUUAUUUUGGCUACCGGGAGUUUGGCCAGUGCAGUCGCAGGACGCGCAAUGACCGUAAGGGUCAUUGGACGCGCGAUGACCAUAAAGGUCACCGGACGCAUGAUGCCGGAAAUGGCUACAAUGCCGUCUGCGGUCACGAGAUGUGACACUGCCGCCAGCAAUGGCGAUAAUGGGCCGUAAUGGGCCAUGAGCCGCAAUGGGCCAUGCACCGUCUACGGCAUCAGGAUAACCCCAUGACAUGAUCCACCACCGCCAGCAAUGGCGAUGAGGGGUGGAGCACUACGAUUGGCAUGUGAAGCCACCUAGAUGGCAGGAGGGCUGAGGUGGAAGCCACCAUCUUCACGGUAGCCAGCCACCACUUGAAUGGUUGGAGUGCCGCCAUUAUGGCGAGCAACUUCUCUCCUGAAGGGCCAUUUUAGGGCACUCAAUUACAACUACGGUAAUUGCAUGGGAUGGCCACACCUCGUCGCUUGUGACGGCCCAUGCUUCACCUUCUAUUACGGCUCACGCCUCAUAUUUUUGAUGGCCCACGUCUCAUGGCACAUGAUGGCUUAGGCCUUAUUAUCUGUCAACUUGAAUGAUUGUCCUAAGAAUGAGAUAGAAAAAGAACAAAUGGAUGACAUCCCAUAUGCCUCAGUUGUUGAGAGCUUAUGUAUAAACAUGUACCUAUCCAGAUGUCACAUAUGUUGUUGGGAUACUUGGUAGAUAUCAAAAUAACAUAGGCCUAUAACAUUAGAAGGUUACAAAAAAAAGUUAUACAUUAUUUACAAGGCACUAAGGAUCACUUGCUCACUUAUAAAAGAUCAGAUCAUCUUGAGGUCAUUGGCUAUUGAGAUAUAAAUAUUGGAGGCUAUCUUGAUAGUAAAAAAUUUACUUUAAGUUUCAUUUUUCUACUAAGAUGUCGAGUCAUUUCAUAUGAGUAUAAAACAAACCACUAUAGCUUCUUAUGUUAUGGAAGUUAAAUUUGUUACCUUCUAUGAGACCUCAUCAUAGGCAAUAUAGAUAAAAAAAUUUUAUCACAAGUCUUAAAAUGAUGGAUUCAAUUCAAAAACCACUUAAGAUCUAUUGUGAUAAUGAAGUUGAUGUUUCUUUCUUUAACAACAACAAAAGUUUCACUUCAUGUAGGCACAUGGAAAUAAAUUAUUUUGUUGUUAAAGAAAUAAUAGAUAUUCAUUUGGUGUCUACUACUCAUAUUGGUAUACAUGACAUAUUAGUAGACCCACUUACUAAAGGAUUGACGCCUAUAUUAUAUUUCAAACAUGUAAGGAACAUGGGUCUAUCCUUUAAUGUCUUAUUUUGAUAGAUCUUACAAAAGUAAUGUUUUAUUUUGAGACAUCAAGUAUUUGUGAACAUAUUUUGGUAAAUAUUAUGAUUCUUUGGGUUCUACUUUCUAUAUCAAGUAUUUAUAAAUAAAUUAAGUAAAUAAAGAGUUAUAUUUUACCAAGGGAAUAAGAAUGUGGUUAACUUAUUCAUAAAAGUCGUUGUCAUAUAAAGUAUUGGUAAUUAAAGAAUAUUGACAUAGUAAUAUAGAGAAGAUAACAUACACUCAAGUUUAUCUAUCGCUAUGACUCAUGUCUCUAUUUAAUCAUGACAAAGUAUAAAAUUACCCACAUAAAAAUGAGAUUAGUUGUGGUACCAUGUCAAAACUUAAUCUAAUAUCUUUUGUGUCUUGUAUUCUAUAUGUCUAUUAUCUUGUAGAAUAAUGAUUAUGGUAUAAUAGGCCAAGUGAGAGAAUGUUGGCCCAUAAGUGGCCCAUUAGCAUAAUAACUACUCAUAAUAACCACUCCUAUAACUACCUAUUGGCUACCCUCAUUUGGGAAACAACACACACCCUAUAUUUAAGAAGAAUCCUUAUUUCAGGAGAUGAGGAAGACACACAGCUCUCUCUCUCUUCUCUCUUCUCCUCAUUCUAUUUGAUGAGAACAUAACCUUUAGUGCUCUAAGAGCUUAGUACUCUUCUCCUUAGUACAUUAGUCUGUCAUCAAGUAGCAUCCUACAGAGAAGGGAUAUCAAAGUGUCUAUCUAUUUGGGAAGACAAAUAUAUCCUUUCUCUUACACUACAAUUUCCUGUGAACACUUGAUACACAAUGUCUUCAUUAGGUGAGUAACCCAUCAUAUAAAAUAGAAUAAUAAUUAUUAUUAAUAUAAUGUUGUUAUUCCAAUAUGGUGGCCAUUUCACUCUCUUCCCAAAGAACAACAAAAGCUAGUCGGGUAAGGCCUUUGGUAGCUGUCAAGUUCAACGCCCACAAAAACGCAUAGGAUAUGAAGGACGCCCCCCAUGUAGGGAUCGACGUCGGCUACAUAACGUCCGCAAUAAUCUCGGAUUGUGGGUCGAUCUCCGGCCAGAACAGAACCACGAUCGACGUAGUGAUCACCUACGAUGCUGGCACCACCAUGCUUAAAGCCUACUUCUCGAACAUGAAUGGCACGGACCAGAGCUUGGCUUACUACGUUAACCUGAGCGAGGAGCUUCCCGAGAAGGUUAACAUCGGCUUCGCGGGCGCCACUGGUGCAUACUUUGGACGCCAUGUGAUACAUUCCUGGAGCUUCAACUCAAGCCUGGAUGUUGCCGUCCGUAACGGUAACACCACAAACGGCGGCGAUGCCGGUGGGACUAAGAAGAAAAGCAACAUCGGCCUACUGGCUGGUGUGCUAGCCGGCGCGGGAACCUUGGCAAUCGCAGCGGGUUUGGCACUCUUCUUCGUCUGGCGAAGAAGGGCA
This 19597-nucleotide long non-coding RNA is filed under the name Spirodela polyrhiza (greater duckweed). RNAcentral's name for it is "long non-coding RNA (SPOL_LNC002646)". Lineage: Eukaryota; Viridiplantae; Streptophyta; Magnoliopsida; Alismatales; Araceae. The record is from RNAcentral.